GAAGAAAAGAAGAACAAAAACCCUAGGUGCAAAAUUCAAGGGAAAAGUGUGAAAAUUCAAAGAAACAAGUGAAAAAAGGUAAGAUUUUUCAAUUCUAGCUUGUGAUCUACCUUUCUUAAGCAUUUUUUUUUAUUUUUCAUGGUUGAAUCACAUGAUUUCAUGAGGAUACCCAUGCUGACCGAACACUUAGAUGGAGGUUUUGAUGCUUGAUUUGGUUAGAUUUCAAUGAAUUUUAGUGUUUUUAGUUAGUUAGUGAUGUGUAGCAUGAAAAUCAAGUAAAAAAAUUCAUGUUCUUCCAUCACCCAUCAUUGGUUGAAUUCUCCAUGUGAAAUAUUGAUGAUGAUUUUGAUUUUAUUUCAAGUGAUUUUGUUAGGAAUUAGUGAUUUAUGGUGUGAGAAUCAAGCUUGAAAAAUUAUAGUGUUGAUGCACCCACUAUGGCCGAAUUUUUCCAAGAGAAAAUGUGAGGAUGAUUUUGCCAUAUUUGAAGUUAUUUAAUUUGUGUUUGAUGAUUUGAAGUAUUGGGAGAAAAAUGGAAUUAAAUGGAGUUAAAUUGGACAUAUUGGCCAAUUAAUCGGGUGAUAGAUCGAAUUAGGCUAAUACUGUUUUAUUUAGGUACACAAUUGAAUUUGUGUAGAACACCGUGUUUAGACGAUAAUCCGAACAAUUUGCAUCCCAUUUCAUACAUUAGUAUAGAGCCUGAAUUGGUUUUAUAACAAUUUAGCAUAAAUGUAGUAAAUGGCUUAUUGUGCAUUAUGUCUAGAUGGUGAGCAUUCUGGCCAAAGUAAAGAGAUAGUACUCGAGGAUCAAGAAUCGGAGUACUUGAAAUUCGACUUUUAAAAUAGUGAGUAACCUUACUAUCGUCUUAAUUAUCUAAAGUGGUUUUUAUCUGAUUUCGUGAUUUUAUGGAAAAUGAGUUUAAAUGGUAGAUUUUUACGUUUUAUAAACAAAAUGUGUUUAAAUGAAAUGAUUUUAUAAAUUGUCUUGAAAUUAAAUGAUGGCUUUGAAAAUAGAGUAAUUGGAGACCAUUUGAUGUAUUGUGAAUUUAUGGUUCUAAUUGAUUGGCUUAUGGCAAUAUUGGCAUGAAUGACUGAAUUGGUAUUUGUGUUGUAAAUGUAUAAACUGUUGUUUGCUUUGAUAGGCUGGAUAAUGAUAAAAUUGCCAUGUCAUGCAGUUAAAUUUUAUUGAAUUUGUGGGUUAUUGAUUAAUCGCUGCAGUGGACGGGUUUUCGUGAACCAGCAUAUUAAAGGGGCACGGUACCCUUAUUAUAUUAUUACCUCGGUCGGAUAGGCGUGUAGGGUAACUCUCGAAGUACACUUUUAGAGUUCACUUCAUGCCAAACCACCACGUGAGGGUGAACUCAGCCAACGCCAAGGAACGGUUAUGUUUUCAAAAUAAAAAUAUGUUUAUGUGUAAACGAAAUUUUUAACUACCUUGGCGGACUCGGUUGGGAUAGCCCUCUGCUAAGGUAUCCCUGAUAACUGAGUAUAAGAAUAAUUUUGGCACUAGCCAAAGCUUUUAAAAAAUUUAUAAGCCAUGUUGACUACUCGAUUUAUAUGAAUUGAUUUUAUUUGGUUUAAAUGAGUUGAAAGGUGAUGAAUUACAAUAUGUUAAACUAUUUUAUCUGUCUCCAUUUACUCAGCUUUAGAUAUUUUAGAUGUAUUUGUUUACUCACUGGGAUUAUAUAAUCUCAUCACCCUCCUUUCCACCCAUUUUAGGCUUAGGAUAGUCGGUAGAUAGCUCACUUUGUUGAGGGCUACAGUUGAACUUGCAUCCUCAAAAACUGUAGGUUUACCGCUUUUGAUACUUUUGGUCAUUCGUGAGUUCACGUGUCACUGUAAAUUAAAUUUUAUACUUUGGUUAUCUGUAUUACAGUAUGUAUGAAUUUAUUUAGCUUUUGUAGCAAUGAAUUUAUUUAGCUUUUAUGCUACAAAAAUUAUUUACUGGUAAUUCUAUAAAUAUUGUUUUAUAAAAAAAUAGAAUAUUUUAUUGAAUGUUUUUAUUAUAUACAAAUAGUUUUAAUUUUACUUUAAAUGAAUGUUUUAAACAUCUAAACUUAUUUUUGAUUAUGAAAUAUGUGUUUUUCACUCGCAUACUACAUUUUUGGCUGGUUUCGAGACUUUCGAGAAAAAAUGACAAGAAUACCCCUGUGAGACAAAAAUUAUUUUUCUAUCGUUUUGAUUUGAAAAUAGUUUAUAAUCUCUCAAAGCAUGAUAUUUAACAACUGUUGCUCACAGGGGAGCUGAGAAAAAACUGAUAUAAAAGCCUUGUGAGGUUUCGGUCGGUAUUUCAAGCGAUGAAUGUCUAUCGGGACAUCACGACGAUUGUCACAAGCUCGAAAGGAGUACCGGGUCAUGACAUGUGACCAUUAGAGCACUGAUCUAACGCUAGUUGCAACCAGAUCCGAUCGUUGGAGCAUUGAUCUAACACUGGUUACGAUUAGAUUUGGCUAUUGGAGUAACAAUUUGAUCACAAGAAGUGCCAAAUCUAGUGACACCAUUAGGUAUAUCAACGUUUCAACAACCA
This 2523-nucleotide long non-coding RNA is filed under the name Theobroma cacao (cacao). RNAcentral's name for it is "long non-coding RNA (TCAC_LNC004369)". Lineage: Eukaryota; Viridiplantae; Streptophyta; Magnoliopsida; Malvales; Malvaceae. The record is from RNAcentral.